This 433-nucleotide ribosomal RNA is filed under the name uncultured bacterium. Its description in RNAcentral is "partial 16S ribosomal RNA". It matches the Rfam family "Bacterial small subunit ribosomal RNA", at positions 29 to 507 of the family's 1533-position model. The record is from RNAcentral.
AACGAACGCUGGCGGCAUGCCUAACACAUGCAAGUCGAACGAGACCUUCGGGUCUAGUGGCGCACGGGUGCGUAACGCGUGGGAACCUGCCCUUAGGUUCGGAAUAACUCCCCGAAAGGGGUGCUAAUACCGGAUAAUGUCUUCGGACCAAAGAUUUAUCGCCUUUGGAUGGGCCCGCGUUGGAUUAGCUAGUUGGUAGGGUAAAAGCCUACCAAGGCGACGAUCCAUAGCUGGUCUGAGAGGAUGAUCAGCCACACUGGUACUGAGACACGGCCCAGACUCCUACGGGAGGCAGCAGUGGGGAAUAUUGGACAAUGGGCGAAAGCCUGAACCAGCAAUGCCGCGUGAGUGAUGAAGGCCUUAGGGUUGUAAAGCUCUUUUACCCGGGAUGAUAAUGACAGUACCGGGAGAAUAAGCUCCGGCUAACUCCGUG